ACCUUCCCCAGGGGGAGCUCCUAUUCCGGGGCUGAGAGGAGGACGGAAGUCCUCGACCCCAAGAACCUGAUCCGGGUAAUGCCGGCGGAGGGAUCGGGGAAGGAGGAAAU
This 110-nucleotide non-coding RNA is filed under the name Thermotoga maritima. RNAcentral describes it as "TPP sequence". It matches the Rfam family "TPP riboswitch aptamer (THI element)". Rfam says of the family: Vitamin B(1) in its active form thiamin pyrophosphate (TPP) is an essential coenzyme that is synthesised by coupling of pyrimidine and thiazole moieties in bacteria. The previously detected thiamin-regulatory element, thi box was extended, resulting in a new, highly conserved RNA secondary structure, the THI element, which is widely distributed in eubacteria and also occurs in some archaea. Lineage: Bacteria; Thermotogati; Thermotogota; Thermotogae; Thermotogales; Thermotogaceae. RNAcentral also lists the same sequence under 1 other name. The record is from RNAcentral.